This 363-nucleotide unclassified non-coding RNA is filed under the name soil metagenome. RNAcentral describes it as "partial contains 5.8S ribosomal RNA, internal transcribed spacer 2, and large subunit ribosomal RNA". The stretch from base 1 to 121 matches the Rfam family "5.8S ribosomal RNA", at positions 35 to 154 of the family's 154-position model. The record is from RNAcentral.
GAUGAAGAACGUAGCGAAUUGCGAUAUGUAAUGUGAAUUGCAGAUUUUCAGUGAAUCAUCGAAUCUUUGAACGCACCUUGCGCUCCUUGGUAUUCCGAGGAGCAUGCCUGUUUGAGUGUCAUUAAUAUAUCAACCUUCUCUUUUUUGAGUUGUUUGGAUGUGGGGGUUUGCUGGCCUCUUAAAUGAUUCAGCUCCCCUGAAAUGCAUUAGCAGAACAACCUGUUCAUUAGCGUGAUAAUUAUCUAUGCUAUUGAAUGUGAGGGCAGUUCAGCUUUCUAACCGUCCUUGGACAAUUCAUCAUUAAUGUGACCUCAAAUCAGGUAGGACUACCCGCUGAACUUAAGCAUAUCAAUAAGCGGAGGA